UCCGGCUUAUCACCGGCAGUUUCUCUAGAGUGCCCAACUAAAUGGUAGCAACUAGAGACGAGGGUUGCGCUCGUUGCGGGACUUAACCCAACAUCUCUGCAGGAUUUCCCGGCAUGUCAAACCCAGGUAAGGUUCUUCGCGUCGCUUCGAAUUAAGCAACAUGCUCCGCCGCUUGUGCGGGCCCCCGUCAAUUCCUUUGAGUUUUAGCCUUGCGGCCGUACUCCCCAGGCGGGGCGCUUAAUGCGUUAGCUACGGCACGGAAAACAAUGAAGCUCCCCACACCUAGCGCCCAACGUUUACGGCGUGGACUAC
This 312-nucleotide unclassified non-coding RNA is filed under the name uncultured Nocardioidaceae bacterium. RNAcentral's name for it is "contains 16S-23S intergenic spacer region". Lineage: Bacteria; Bacillati; Actinomycetota; Actinomycetes; Propionibacteriales; Nocardioidaceae. The record is from RNAcentral.